GUUCUGGUUUUGAAUUCAGGCUGCAAGGCAAGGAUCCUACCAGUGAUUAUUAAUGUAUGAUGUUGGUAGAAUGUUGAAAUUGGGAUAGUAAGGAUCCUACCAGGGAUUAUUUAUGUAUUAUGUUGGUAGAAUGUUGAAGUUGGGAUAGUAGUAAGGAUCCUACCAGGGAUUAUUUAUGUAUGAUGUUGGUAGAAUGUUGAAGUUGGGAUAGUAGUAAAAGGCCGGUGUGUAAAUGACUAAGAUUCAAGCCUCCCAUGAAUUAGGGAGCUUUGUUUCAUUAUUGUGUGUUUAUCUGUAUGUUCCUUCCUGUAGUUGGCCAUCUGGGAGGAUUCUGUAUGGAGGAAUGGUCUAAGAUCACCCCAAUGUGUUCUCCGACUCAUAAAACAUUUAAGAAAAAGUCUUAGUGCUGUUAUCCAUGCAAGGUGGAGGCAGGUAGUCUAGUGGUUAGAGUGUAGGGGCGGCAGGUAGUCUAGUGGUUAGAGUGUAGGGGGCAGGUAGCCUAGUGGUUAGAGUGUAGGGGCGGCAGGUAGCCUAGUGGUUAGAGUGUAGGGGCGGCAGGUAGCCUAGUGGUUAGAGUGUAGGGGCGGCAGGUAGCCUAGUGGUUAGAGUGUAGGGGCGGCAGGUAGCCUAGUGGUUAGAGUGUAGGGGGCGGCAGGUAGCCUAGUGGUUAGAGUGUAGGGGCGGCAGGUAGCCUAGUGGUUAGAGUGUAGGGGCGGCAGGUAGCCUAGUGGUUAGAGUGUAGGGGCGGCAGGUAGCCUAGUGGUUAGAGUGUAGGGGCGGCAGGUAGCCUAGUGGUUAGAGUGUAGGGGCGGCAGGUAGCCUAGUGGUUAGAGCGUUGGGCCAGUAACCGAAAGGUUGCAAGAUCGAAUGCCUGAGCUGACAAGGAAAGAACCUGUCGUUCUGCCCCUGAACAAGGCAGUUAACCCACUGUUCCUAGACCAGUUAACCCCCUGUUCCUAGACCAGUUAACCCCCUGUUCCUAGACCAGUUAACCCACUGUCCUAGACCAGUUAACCCACUGUUCCUAGACCAGUUAACCCACUGUUCCUAGACCAGUUAAUCCACUGUUCCUAGACCAGUUAACCCCCUGUUCCUAGACCAGUUAACCCACUGUUCCUAGGCUGUCAUUAAAAAUAAGAAUUUGUUCUUAACUGACUUGCCUAGUUAAAUAAAUGGGGGGAAAAGAUGACCUUUUUGAGAAAAUAAUUAUUACUUUCUUAAACAAAAUCUCUUUCUCUGAGCAAUUGUUUUUGCUUAAAAUCAUUUAAUUUUCCCAUUUUGUUUGAGCAUGCAAUAUAUUUCAGUCUUUGAAUCAUGUAUUUUAUACAGUCAUUUUUGCUACUCUUUAUCAAGGGUGUCAAUAAUUUGGGACCCAACUGUAUACUUCAAAAU
Long non-coding RNA from Oncorhynchus tshawytscha (Chinook salmon), 1392 nucleotides. The record is from Ensembl. Lineage: Eukaryota; Metazoa; Chordata; Actinopteri; Salmoniformes; Salmonidae.